Molecule: non-coding RNA, 92 nt
Organism: Flammula alnicola
Lineage: Eukaryota; Fungi; Basidiomycota; Agaricomycetes; Agaricales; Strophariaceae
Source: the annotation of a GenBank genome assembly
UCUCUGUUAGUAUAUCGGUUAGUACACGCGCCUGUCACUCUGGCUUUCGAAUGUGUCCGCGCGAAAGCUGGGUUCGACUCCCAGACAGAGAG